AUUGAACGCUGGCGGCAGGCCUAACACAUGCAAGUCGAACGAGUGGCGGACGGGUGAGUAAUGUCUGGGAAACUGCCUGAUGGAGGGGGAUAACUACUGGAAACGGUAGCUAAUACCGCAUACCAUCGGAUGUGCCCAGAUGGGAUUAGCUAGUUGGUGGGGUAACGGCUCACCUAGGCGACGAUCCCUAGCUGGUCUGAGAGGCUGACCAGCCACAAUGGAACUGAGACACGGUCCAGACUCCUACAGGAGGCAGCAGUGGGGAAUAUUGCAAAAUGGGCGCAAGCCUGAUGCAGCCAUGCCGCGGGUAUGAAGAAGGCCGUCGGGGUGUAAAGGACUUUCAGCGGGGAGGCGUUACCCGCAAGAGAAGCACCGGCUAACUCCGUGCCAGCAGCCGCGGUAAUAC
This 406-nucleotide ribosomal RNA is filed under the name uncultured bacterium. RNAcentral describes it as "partial 16S ribosomal RNA". It matches the Rfam family "Bacterial small subunit ribosomal RNA", at positions 30 to 526 of the family's 1533-position model. The record is from RNAcentral.